This 723-nucleotide ribosomal RNA is filed under the name uncultured bacterium. Its description in RNAcentral is "bacterial SSU rRNA". It matches the Rfam family "Bacterial small subunit ribosomal RNA", at positions 46 to 764 of the family's 1533-position model. The record is from RNAcentral.
GCUUUACACAUGCAAGUCGAACGGCAGCACGGACUUCGGUCUGGUGGCGAGUGGCGAACGGGUGAGUAAUAUAUCGGAACGUAUCCAAUAAUGGGGGAUAACUAAUCGAAAGGUUGGCUAAUACCGCAUACGCCCUACGGGGGAAAGCAGGGGAUCUUCGGACCUUGCGUUAAUGGAGCGGCCGAUAUCUGAUUAGCUAGUUGGUGAGGUAAAGGCUCACCAAGGCGACGAUCAGUAGCUGGUCUGAGAGGACGACCAGCCACACUGGAACUGAGACACGGUCCAGACUCCUACGGGAGGCAGCAGUGGGGAAUUUUGGACAAUGGGCGCAAGCCUGAUCCAGCCAUUCCGCGUGAGUGAAGAAGGCCUUCGGGUUGUAAAGCUCUUUCGCAAGGGAAGAAAACUUACUUUUUAAUAAAGAGUGAGGUUGACGGUACCUUGAUAAGAAGCACCGGCUAACUACGUGCCAGCAGCCGCGGUAAUACGUAGGGUGCGAGCGUUAAUCGGAAUUACUGGGCGUAAAGCGUGCGCAGGCGGUUUUGUAAGUCAGAUGUGAAAUCCCCGAGCUCAACUUGGGAACUGCGUUUGAAACUACAAGACUAGAAUAUGUCAGAGGGGGGUAGAAUUCCACGUGUAGCAGUGAAAUGCGUAGAGAUGUGGAGGAAUACCAAUGGCGAAAGCAGCCCCCUGAGAUAAUAUUGACACUCAUGCACGAAAGCGUGG